GUACCCUUAGCUCAGUUGGUUAGAGCAGACGGCUCAUAACCGUCCGGUCGUAGGUUCGAGUCCUGCAGGGUACA
This 74-nucleotide transfer RNA is filed under the name Enterococcus faecium. RNAcentral describes it as "tRNA-Ile". It matches the Rfam family "tRNA". From Rfam's summary of the family: Transfer RNA (tRNA) molecules are approximately 80 nucleotides in length. Their secondary structure includes four short double-helical elements and three loops (D, anti-codon, and T loops). RNAcentral also lists the same sequence under 1 other name. The record is from RNAcentral. Lineage: Bacteria; Bacillati; Bacillota; Bacilli; Lactobacillales; Enterococcaceae.